GGCGUGCCUAACACAUGCAAGUCGAACGAAGCUCCUUGAAGGGCGGACUUCGGUCAAACAGAUGGGAUGACUUAGUGGCGAACGGGUGAGUAACGCGUGAGGAACCUGCCUUUCAGUGGGGGACAACAGUUGGAAACGACUGCUAAUACCGCAUAACGUACGGAUACCGCAUGGUGACUGUACCAAAGAUUUAUUGCUGAAAGAUGGCCUCGCGUCUGAUUAGAUAGUUGGUGAGGUAACGGCCCACCAAGUCGACGAUCAGUAGCCGGACUGAGAGAUUGAACGGCCACAUUGGGACUGAGAUACGGCCCAGACUCCUACGGGAGGCAGCAGUGGGGAAUAUUGGGCAAUGGGGGGAAACCCUGACCCAGCAACGCCGCGUGAAGGAAGAAGGCUUUCGAGUUGUAAACUUCUUUUACCAGGAACGAAGAAAGUGACGGUACCUGGAGAAAAAGCCACGGCUAACUACGUGCCAGCAGCAGC
Molecule: ribosomal RNA, 483 nt
Filed under: uncultured bacterium
Lineage: Bacteria
Description: bacterial SSU rRNA
Rfam family: Bacterial small subunit ribosomal RNA
Source: RNAcentral